Small nuclear RNA from Pongo abelii (Sumatran orangutan), 147 nucleotides. Its record names the gene U2. It matches the Rfam family "U2 spliceosomal RNA". From Rfam's summary of the family: U2 is a small nuclear RNA (snRNA) component of the spliceosome (involved in pre-mRNA splicing). Lineage: Eukaryota; Metazoa; Chordata; Mammalia; Primates; Hominidae. The record is from Ensembl.
AUCGCUUCUCGGCCUUUUGGCUAAGAUCAAGUGUAGAAUCCUUUCUUUAUCUGUGACCUUUGGGAGUUUGCUUAUUAAAUGUCUAGAGGUAAUCUUCUUUGGCUUAAAUCUGCUUGGUGUUCCAUAACCUUCUUGUACUUAAAUAUU